RNAcentral lists this ribosomal RNA (445 nucleotides) under uncultured Anaerolineaceae bacterium. RNAcentral's name for it is "bacterial SSU rRNA". It matches the Rfam family "Bacterial small subunit ribosomal RNA", at positions 923 to 1382 of the family's 1533-position model. The record is from RNAcentral. Lineage: Bacteria; Bacillati; Chloroflexota; Anaerolineae; Anaerolineales; Anaerolineaceae.
GCACAAGCAGCGGAGCGUGUGGUUUUAAUUCGUUGCUACACGAAGAACCUUACCUGGGUUUGACAUAUAAGUUGUAGGGAACUGAAAGGGACGACCCUUCAGGGAGCUUAUACAGGUGUUGCAUGGCUGUCGUCAGCUCGUGUCGUGAGAUGUUCGGUUAAGUCCGCUAACGAGCGCAACCCUCGCCGUAUGUUACAAGUGUCAUACGGGACUGCCGGUAAAAAGCCGGAGGAAGGUGAGGAUGAUGUCAAGUCAGCAUGACCUUUAUAUCCAGGGCUACACACACGCUACAAUGGUCUGUACAAUAGGUUGCGAAACCGCGAGGUGGAGCCAAUCCUCAAAGUCUGUCUCAGUUCAGAUUGUAGGCUGCAACUCGCCUGCAUGAAGUUGGAGUUGCUAGUAAACGCAGGUCAGCUAUACUGCGUUGAAUACGUUCCCGGGGUUU